UUUUUUUACUUUAAAAAUAUUACAUUUCAAGUACUAAGUUUAAAAAUGUUUUCGGCUGAUCUUUUUUCAUUUUAAAUUAUUCAUUGAAGUUGGGGUCAUUGUAUGUGGCGAUCUAUUUUUUACAGUCUAUGCUCGCUAUCCCAAGGUUCAUUGCGAUCCCAAGGUUCACUGCGGUUUUCCACAAGCCUGUUUCUGCCUAUCACCAUGAGUGAUUCCUUGAUACUCAGAUUUUUCAUCAAGAUCUCAAUUAUAAGCUCAAGUCUUGAUGACAACUUGAUGAUCUGCAUGAAGCACCACCAUGUAUAGAGGGCCAAGACCACUCUGGAAUCAGUCAAGGGUGAAAUGGAGUGAGGCAUACCAGGAUAUGCCUGGUUUUACUCUUGGGAAGGAGGUUGAACAGUGCAAUAUUUCUUCUAUAGGAUUGCAUUGACCAGACAUGCUACUGUAACUCUCAUGGUCAUGUGCUGGAAUUAGCAGAUAUUCAACAAUUUGGCCAUCUUGCCGACCUAUUGAUAUCAGAAGACCACAACAGCUCUGCAAAGCAAGUUGGAAAACAGAAUCCAUGAAACUGGCAGUGACCGGAAACCAGUUGGAAGACUUUGGUCU
RNAcentral lists this long non-coding RNA (606 nucleotides) under Danio rerio (zebrafish). RNAcentral describes it as "si:ch211-188p14.9 (ENSDARG00000105092.2)". The record is from RNAcentral. Lineage: Eukaryota; Metazoa; Chordata; Actinopteri; Cypriniformes; Danionidae.